This 21-nucleotide microRNA is filed under the name Monodelphis domestica (gray short-tailed opossum). RNAcentral describes it as "Mdo-Mir-490_5p* (star (passenger))". Lineage: Eukaryota; Metazoa; Chordata; Mammalia; Didelphimorphia; Didelphidae. The record is from RNAcentral.
UCAUGGAUCUCUUGGUGGGUC